Arachis ipaensis is the source of this 2461-nucleotide non-coding RNA. NCBI's taxonomy places the organism in Eukaryota, Viridiplantae, Streptophyta, Magnoliopsida, Fabales, Fabaceae. The record is from RefSeq and is a predicted model, not a curated record.
ACGUCCCACUCCCAAAACAGCCCACUUCCAACCCUGACUCUCCAAAAUGCAAACACGCGCAGCACUCCCAUCAGGCCAUCACCCUUCCUCUCAUCGUCAUUGAGCUCCUCCUUCACUUCCGUCCCGCCACCGGCAAGCAACCGCCGCCGUCGCAACUUGGAGCUUUGAAGCCACUGUCGCAACGUCGUUCUCCUCCAUCGUGCAGCCACGCUUGAGCUUCGAAACCACCGUCGCCGGCCUCGCCUCCUGCCUCCGUUGCGCAGCCACUGUCUUGCCGGCGCCACUGUCUAGGGUUGCAAAAGCUUUCCUUACUAAACUUGGAAGGGUGCCUUGUAACAGCUGCAUGCUUGGAUUCUCUUGCAGGUUUAAUUGCUUGAUAUACUUUUAUGCUUAUUAUGUUGCUGAUCUAGAAAAUUGGUCGCUUUAUUAUAUUUCCUAGAAACAAUACAACUAUACAACUACUAAACCUAUAAACCAACCAACAUAUUUAAGGAUAAGAAGAGAAAAAGAUGAUACUUUUAUUUACAAAAUAAAUAACUUGAGUGGUUUAUACACUCUGCUGUACAAAUGUUAUCCUCAAUUAUCAAUACAACCUAAGAUAUUAUCAUAUUGCAAGCUCAAAAUUGCUUCACCAAAAUUAAUAAUGAAUGAAAGAAUGAUUAGAGAGAACUCAAUAAAGGCAACCUCAAGCAGGAAGAUCAUUCUAACAUUACAAUGCACCCUUGAAUUCUUCCAAUUUGCCCUCGAACUACAGGAAGAUCAAAUAGUUCUAGCAGCAGUCCCACUGCUUCCCUCCUCUCUUCUGCAUCUCUUGUUAGAGACUUCACCACUGGUGAUAAAAACUCAGUUUCUGCCAUCUUCUCCUGCACAGUACUAUUACAAAAGAUAACUAAGUAAUUAACAACAACAAAUACAGUCAAUUUCACAAGAAAUAUUGCCUUAUUUUCAGAAUUCUACCUUUGUCUCAUCUUUGCCCGAAGCCAUAUUUCCUAACAAUUGAAUGAUGUUAAGCUUCUCUUUUCCAUAAUCAUAUUCAUAGAAAACUGGAUUUUUUGUAGGAAAAAAGAAAAGAAAAGAAUAAUCAGUUACACAAGUAGUAAACCGUAACUGGGAAACACAUGAUAAAGGAAUUAACUUUAUAAGAAACUAAUGGGAAAUUGAGAGCAAAAAAGGGAAAAUCAAUCACACAUAGAAAUUCAAGAAAUUCAGAAGGAAAUUGAAUUGAACCUGUUGAGAAAAUGCAAGGGAUGACUAAGAAAACUGUGAAAACACCUAGAAGUUGAGCUUAGACUUCCACAUGUUUAUUAUAAUUUUUUUAAGUAUGAAAAACUGUUUUAACACUCUUAUGCACUAAUAGCUCUUAGGUUUCAUAGAAUUUGAUUGACCAAUAAUUUUAAUAAAAAAAAAAGUUUAGUUCAUUUUGCCUAUUCCAUUCUCCUAGCAUUUAGUUAGUACCUAACAUGUUAAAAUUUUAAGUUCAGUCAUGGAGAAUGAUGGCAAAGAGUCAUAUAAGGAUGGUGAUCAAUCUGAAGAUUUAAGUGUUGAGUAUGAGUACCUUGGUUAUUCUUAUUCUCAAUGAUAGGUUAAUGGGGCUGCUGAUCGUCUUCUACGAUCCCUUCUUGGAAAUCAGGUUCAUUAUUAUCCAAUAGAUCAGUACAGUUAGAAAUUGUUGUGCUAUGCGUAAUUUGAGAGACUAAUACGUUGCUGGUUUCUCCUUGAAGUUCUCAUCAUGAAUCCUUGAAAGCUCAGAAAGCAAUUAAUGAGCUUUUUGUAAAGUACAACAUCCAAUUUUCUGGAGUAUCUAAAAGCUUUUUUAGGAUAUCAGACAAAGACAACCAUACUUGUGGACUGGGAUUUUCAGAUUUGGUUUCUCAGAUUGGCUCUAUGAGUUUUGAUUCCACUGGCUUGCAUUGGCGGUAUAAUUUAAUGGCUAACAGAGUUUUGCUCUUGCUAGCUUUGGCUUCUCGGAACCACCCAAAUUCAUCAACUAGAAUCCUGAGUGAAACAACUGGCCACUUUUUGAAGAAUUUGAAAAGUCAACUUCCUCAGACAAGGAUACUUGCAAUUUCGGCUUUGAAUACACCUUAAAGAAAUCACCGUACAAGCUGUCACCUGGUGAGAAAUCUGCUGUACUCGAGGAUUUGCAAGGCAAUGCCAAGUCAUCCCUUGAAGAAGCUUUAACUCGCACCUUUAAUGGCUGAUAUGGCUAGAACAAUUUUGAGAGAUUCUGACAAACACCAAAAAAAAGUGUGUUGCAUGUCAGUGGUUUUUCUUUUUCUUUUUCCCCAACCUUGUUUUUGUUUUAGUCUAUUCUUUACAGUUCAUUUUUGGUGCUUGACCCUGGUGCCAUUUAAUUCUCUGGGGCCAGUCCCUUGUACUUUUAGGUAACAAAUAAUGGGAAAAAUUUUCCUUCUUUGUAUGCUACCAUUUUUGUUGUAUGGAAUACAAUUUUUUUUCUCCU